This 207-nucleotide long non-coding RNA is filed under the name Elaeis guineensis (African oil palm). RNAcentral's name for it is "long non-coding RNA (EGUI_LNC010504)". The record is from RNAcentral. Lineage: Eukaryota; Viridiplantae; Streptophyta; Magnoliopsida; Arecales; Arecaceae.
AUAGAAUUAUAAAAAUUUGUGAGCUGAUCGAAAAUUUGAUAAUAAGUUUCAAUUAUAGAUAUGAAGUAUUUCGUAUUUCAGAUUCGACCAACGAACAAACAGUUAUCUGCGAAAAGCUAGUGCGAGAGCGAUAAAAUUCAAGAGAUAGGUCAGUAGAACUUCAACUCUACCCUAGACUGCCAUCUGAAGAGUCUGAGGGGGGGGGGG